This 28-nucleotide non-coding RNA is filed under the name Mus musculus (house mouse). Lineage: Eukaryota; Metazoa; Chordata; Mammalia; Rodentia; Muridae. The record is from RNAcentral.
UGAUGCCAUCUUAUUGCCACUUCUCAGU